UACAAACAUGGUUCGUACACGGUUUUCUUCAAGAUAUGCUCCAUCUACAAUAAUUCUCCUCAUUCUAAAUAUAAAUAGAAAACUUCAGUUCUUCUUGAAGCAAGAGGGGAGAAAAUAUACUCUAGUAGCGAACAUGAAGCUAAGAAAGCCAAAAUAUCUAAAUAGACUCAACUAACUAUUGAGGAACCUUCACAUUACCCUCCUGAGGAUUUGAGCAACCCCUGGUAGCAGGUUGUGGUCAUGGAGGAAAAUUUAUCUACAACAAAAACAUAGAAAGGGUUGUUGUAUUGUUUCAAGGGUUGUUUAAAUGGUUGUUGUUUUGGUUGCUUAACUAGUUGUUGUGUGAGUUACUUUCUAUGUUGUUAUAAAGGGUUGUUGUAUUGUUUCAGGUGUUGCUUAAGAGGGUUUUGUGUGAGUUUUUUACCAUGUUGUUUAUGGGUUGCUUAGGAGUUUAUAGGGUUGUUUUAUAUGUUGCUACCUAGGGUUACUAUAUUGUUUCAAGGGUUGCUUGAUUGGUUUCUG
Humulus lupulus (European hop) is the source of this 522-nucleotide long non-coding RNA. RefSeq lists it as uncharacterized. The transcript is spliced from 2 exons. NCBI's taxonomy places the organism in Eukaryota, Viridiplantae, Streptophyta, Magnoliopsida, Rosales, Cannabaceae. The record is from RefSeq and is a predicted model, not a curated record.